AGAGUUUGAUCAUGGCUCAGAUUGAACGCUGGCGGCAUGCCUUACACAUGCAAGUCGAACGGCAGCACGGGGGCAACCCUGGUGGCGAGUGGCGAACGGGUGAGUAAUACAUCGGAACGUGUCCUGUAGUGGGGGAUAGCCCGGCGAAAGCCGGAUUAAUACCGCAUACGCUCUACGGAGGAAAGGGGGGGAUCUUAGGACCUCCCGCUACAGGGGCGGCCGAUGGCAGAUUAGCUAGUUGGUGGGGUAAAGGCCUACCAAGGCGACGAUCUGUAGCUGGUCUGAGAGGACGACCAGCCACACUGGGACUGAGACACGGCCCAGACUCCUACGGGAGGCAGCAGUGGGGAAUUUUGGACAAUGGGCGAAAGCCUGAUCCAGCAAUGCCGCGUGUGUGAAGAAGGCCUUCGGGUUGUAAAGCACUUUUGUCCGGAAAGAAAUCCUCUGGGUUAAUACCCCGGGGGGAUGACGGUACCGGAAGAAUAAGCACCGGCUAACUACGUGCCAGCAGCCGCGGUAAUACGUAGGGUGCAAGCGUUAAUCGGAAUUACUGGGCGUAAAGCGUGCGCAGGCGGUUCGCUAAGACAGAUGUGAAAUCCCCGGGCUUAACCUGGGAACUGCAUUUGUGACUGGCGGGCUAGAGUAUGGCAGAGGGGGGUAGAAUUCCACGUAGCAGUGAAAUGCGUAGAGAUGUGGAGGAAUACCGAUGGCGAAGGCAGCCCCCUGGGCCAAUACUGACGCUCAUGCACGAAAGCGUGGGGAGCAAACAGGAUUAGAUACCCNNGUAGUCC
RNAcentral lists this ribosomal RNA (791 nucleotides) under uncultured bacterium. Its description in RNAcentral is "bacterial SSU rRNA". It matches the Rfam family "Bacterial small subunit ribosomal RNA", at positions 8 to 796 of the family's 1533-position model. The record is from RNAcentral.